UACGUAGGGUGCAAGCGUUGUCCGGAAUUAUUGGGCGUAAAGAGCUCGUAGGCGGUUUGUCGCGUCUGCUGUGAAAACUCGGGGCUUAACUCCGGGCCUGCAGUGGGUACGGGCAGACUAGAGUGCGGUAGGGGAGACUGGAAUUCCUGGUGUAGCGGUGAAAUGCGCAGAUAUCAGGAGGAACACCGAUGGCGAAGGCAGGUCUCUGGGCCAUAACUGACGCUGAGAAGCGAAAGCAUGUGGAGCGAACAGG
This 253-nucleotide ribosomal RNA is filed under the name uncultured bacterium. RNAcentral describes it as "partial 16S ribosomal RNA". It matches the Rfam family "Bacterial small subunit ribosomal RNA", at positions 524 to 776 of the family's 1533-position model. The record is from RNAcentral.